Molecule: ribosomal RNA, 253 nt
Filed under: uncultured bacterium
Lineage: Bacteria
Description: partial 16S ribosomal RNA
Rfam family: Bacterial small subunit ribosomal RNA
Source: RNAcentral
UACGAAGGGGGCGAGCGUUGUUCGGAAUCACUGGGCGUAAAGGGCGCGUAGGCGGCCCCUCUUGUCGCGUGUGAAAGCCCCCGGCUCAACUGGGGAGGGUCACGCGAUACUGAUCGACUGGAAGGCAGGAGAGGGUAGUGGAAUUCCCGGUGUAGUGGUGAAAUGCGUAGAUAUCGGGAGGAACACCAGUGGCGAAGGCGACUACCUGGCCCGGUACUGACGCUGAGGUGCGAAAGCGUGGGGAGCAAACAGG